GGAGGCCCUUUCCAUAUUCCGCUUCAUUCUCCCCUCCUGGCGUGCCUCAAGGAACGACCACUGUCCCCAGGUUACAGGUGCUUCUUCACCCCAACAAGGCUCAAUCAAGUGUGUUCUUCUCUGGGAAGCUGCAGACAUCUGACCCCAGGCCACAGAGUCAUACCCAGUCUGGCUCCCACAGCCCUCCCAGGCUGUCUGGUGUCAGUGCAGUGCUGUGGAUGGGAACACACCUCUACCAUGUUGAGCUGCUCUGAGGUUUAAAUGCGUUACUGCUAAUUGGGAUCUUGGAACAACUCCUGGUGCAUGGACACACACAGGACAGACUGGAAUAAAUACUGGUGGUUUAUCACAGGAAGGCUGGCCUCAGCUUGGGAGAGUAAGCGUGCAUGCAUACACAGCCAGCUGAUUUAUUGUGA
This 416-nucleotide long non-coding RNA is filed under the name Homo sapiens (human). RNAcentral describes it as "HSALNT0097828". Lineage: Eukaryota; Metazoa; Chordata; Mammalia; Primates; Hominidae. The record is from RNAcentral.